RNAcentral lists this ribosomal RNA (1156 nucleotides) under uncultured bacterium. RNAcentral's name for it is "bacterial SSU rRNA". It matches the Rfam family "Bacterial small subunit ribosomal RNA", at positions 212 to 1378 of the family's 1533-position model. The record is from RNAcentral.
UUUUGGCUAAGGGAUCGGCCUAUAUUGUAUCAUCUAGUUGGUGGGGUAAGAGCUUACCAAGGCAAUGACACAUAGCGGGUCUGAGAGGAUGAUCCGCCACACUGGUACUGAGACACGGACCAGACUCCUACGGGAGGCAGCAGUGGGGAAUAUUGCACAAUGGGGGAAACCCUGAUGCAGCAACGCCGCGUGGAGGAUGACACAUUUCGGUGCGUAAACUCCUUUUAUAUAAGAAGAUAAUGACGGUAUUAUAUGAAUAAGCACCGGCUAACUCCGUGCCAGCAGCCGCGGUAAUACGGAGGGUGCAAGCGUUAUUCGGAAUCACUGGGCGUAAAGGGUGCGUAGGCGGUUUGGAAAGUCAGAUGUGAAAGCCUAUGGCUUAACCAUAGAACUGCAUUUGAAACUUCCAGACUAGAAUACUGAAGGGGCAGAUGGAAUUAGUGGUGUAGGGGUAAAAAUCCGUAGAUAUCACUAGGAAUACCGAAAGCGAAAGCGAUCUGCUGGGAAGUUAUUGACGCUGAGGCACGAAAGCGUGGGGAGCAAACGGGGAUUAGAUACCCCCGGGUAGUCCACGCCCUAAACGAUGAAUGCUAGUCGUCGGGACGCUUGUCGUUUCGGUGAUGCACUUAACAGAUUAAGCAUUCCGCCUGGGGAGUACGGUCGCAAGAUUAAAACUCAAAGGAAUAGACGGGGACCCGCACAAGUGGUGGAGCAUGUGGUUUAAUUCGAAGAUACGCGAAGAACCUUACCUAGCCUUGACAUUGAUAGAAUCCUGUAGAGAUACGGGAGUGCUGGCUUGCCAGAACUAGAAAACAGGUGCUGCACGGCUGUCGUCAGCUCGUGUCGUGAGAUGUUGGGUUAAGUCCCGCAACGAGCGCAACCCUCGUCGUUAGUUGCUAACAGUUCGGCUGAGCACUCUAGCGAGACUGCCUUCGCAAGGAGGAGGAAGGUGAGGACGACGUCAAGUCAUCAUGGCCCUUACGGCUAGGGCUACACACGUGCUACAAUGGGGCGUACAGAGAGUUGCGAUACCGCGAGGUGGAGCCAAUCUCAUAAAGCGUCUCUCAGUUCGGAUUGUUCUCUGCAACUCGAGAGCAUGAAGCUGGAAUCACUAGUAAUCGUAGAUCAGCAAUGCUACGGUGAAUACGUUCCCGGG